GAUGAACGCUAGCUACAGGCUUAACACAUGCAAGUCGAGGGGCAGCAUGGUCUUAGCUUGCUAAGGCUGAUAGCGACCGGCGCACGGGUGAGUAACACGUAUCCAACCUGCCGUCUACUCUUGGCCAGCCUUCUGAAAGGAAGAUUAAUCCAGGAUGGCAUCAUGAGUUCACAUGUCCGCAUGAUUAAAGGUAUUUUCCGGUAGACGAUGGGGAUGCGUUCCAUUAGAUAGUAGGCGGGGUAACGGCCCACCUAGUCAACGAUGGAUAGGGGUUCUGAGAGGAAGGUCCCCCACAUUGGAACUGAGACACGGUCCAAACUCCUACGGGAGGCAGCAGUGAGGAAUAUUGGUCAAUGGGCGAUGGCCUGAACCAGCCAAGUAGCGUGAAGGAUGACUGCCCUAUGGGUUGUAAACUUCUUUUAUAAAGGAAUAAAGUCGGGUAUGCAUACCCGUUUGCAUGUACUUUAUGAAUAAGGAUCGGCUAACUCCGUGCCAGCAGCCGCGGUAAUACGGAGGAUCCGAGCGUUAUCCGGAUUUAUUGGGUUUAAAGGGAGCGUAGAUGGAUGUUUAAGUCAGUUGUGAAAGUUUGCGGCUCAACCGUAAAAUUGCAGUUGAUACUGGAUGUCUUGAGUGCAGUUGAGGCAGGCGGAAUUCGUGGUGUAGCGGUGAAAUGCUUAGAUAUCACGAAGAACUCCGAUUGCGAAGGCAGCCUGCUAAGCUGCAACUGACAUUGAGGCUCGAAAGUGUGGGUAUCAAACAGGAUUAGAUACCCUGGUAGUCCACACGGUAAACGAUG
RNAcentral lists this ribosomal RNA (796 nucleotides) under uncultured bacterium. RNAcentral's name for it is "bacterial SSU rRNA". It matches the Rfam family "Bacterial small subunit ribosomal RNA", at positions 28 to 811 of the family's 1533-position model. The record is from RNAcentral.